Molecule: long non-coding RNA, 514 nt
Organism: Oreochromis aureus
Lineage: Eukaryota; Metazoa; Chordata; Actinopteri; Cichliformes; Cichlidae
Exons: 3
Source: RefSeq, a predicted model, not a curated record
UACAAGUGUGACAUCAGCGGUUAUGGAGAGUCUCCAUCCAGUUGGAUCACUGUCACAGGUAAACCCAAAACUACAGCCCCCCUUCAACUUGCAUUCAGAGCUGUCAUCUACCUGCUGAUUUUCUGCCCGUUCUUCAUCUCCACUCUGCUCUUGGUGUCUAUAUAUCGACGCAGAGACAAAGGAAAUGAAAUUUGUAUUUCAAUCCCAGCCACUCAGCCUGAGCAAGGACUGGAUUAUGAGAAUAAUGAUGUCACCACAGAACAUCGCUUCUGAAUGAGAGCUCUGUUGUGUCUCAGUAACUUUGUCCUCGUCAGCUCUGUUGAGGAGAUGAUUUGAAUAAAUGUACUAUGAUGUUCAUAUCUGGAUAAUUAAUUGUAGAUAAAAACCAAACAUUAGUGAUCAGAGGAGGAUGGCCAACAUAUUCUGUGUCUACCAGAAAUGGCACGAACCCACUUAUUUAUGUUUGAUACCGAUACCAAUAUCAUAAAUUUGGAUAUCUGCUGAUACUGAUAUG